UUCUUUAAGAAUAUCUUAUUUAAAGUAAAACCUGCUCCAUGAUGAAUAACAAUCAUUAAAUAGCCGCAGUAUAUCUGUGCUAAGGUAGCAUAAUAAUUAGCUUCUCAAUUAGAAGAUAGAAUGAAAGGUUUAACGAAAUAUUAACUGUAUCUAAUGUUAAAAAUGAAAUUAAAUAUUAAGGUAAAAAUUCCUUUAAACAAUACUUUAUUUAGAAGGACGACAAGACCCUGAUAAACUUAUAUAUUUUGCUGGGGCGGCAAUAUUAAACACACCUUAAAUUUAUAAAUGCAAAAACUACUAAUCAAUUUAUUUAUUAAAGUUACUACAGGGAUAACAGCGCAAUUUUUUUUUAAAGAUCUAAUACAAAAAAAAUAAUACGACCUCGAUGUUGAAUUAAUUUUUCUAUUUUAGUGCACAAACUAAAUAAGAAGGUCUGUUCGACCUAUAAAUAAUU
This 454-nucleotide ribosomal RNA is filed under the name Pisaboa silvae. RNAcentral describes it as "partial 16S ribosomal RNA". The record is from RNAcentral. Lineage: Eukaryota; Metazoa; Arthropoda; Arachnida; Araneae; Pholcidae.